Non-coding RNA from Mycena vulgaris, 96 nucleotides. Lineage: Eukaryota; Fungi; Basidiomycota; Agaricomycetes; Agaricales; Mycenaceae. The record is from the annotation of a GenBank genome assembly.
GCCUUCGAGGAUCAAUGGUGAUCAUCCCCUCAAUUGUAAAAUCCGCGGAAGUUUCAACGUUCAGGGGAAGGUGGGGUUCAAAUCCUCCCGAGGGCA